RNAcentral lists this long non-coding RNA (4380 nucleotides) under Pan troglodytes (chimpanzee). Its description in RNAcentral is "long non-coding RNA NONPTRT005195". The record is from RNAcentral. Lineage: Eukaryota; Metazoa; Chordata; Mammalia; Primates; Hominidae.
AACUGAAUUUUUAAAAUGUAAAUCUGAUUUAUUUUUGGAAUAAAUAAUACAUUUACAUGGCUGGAAAUUCAAAGGAUACAAAAAGGCAUAUACUCCAGGCAACCACUAUGACCAGCUGCUGAUCACAAGUAGAGAACUUGUUUCUUUUCACCCCUCUUGCUCCUCCCCGGAGUUAUGAAAAAUUUCAAACCUGCCAAAAGUUUGAAGUUUACAACAAAUACCCUCCAACCUUUGGGUUGUCUCCCUCCCCCUUCUCUCCCUCUCUCCCUCUGAUUUCUUACAGAACCACGCUUUCAUGACCAUGCCCGGGAACUUCACGCUGGCGCGGUGAGGUCCUGCGCCUCCGCUUCCUGCACACACGUGCUUCUUAAUAGCUGCAGGCUAUUUCAUGAGAGGAAUUUGCUCACGUUAACAUGGCUGUUCCCAAAUGCCAGGCUGUUUUAAGUGUUUCCUAAUUAUAAACAGGCUGUGCUGUUUCCCUUGACCUAGGACUUGUUCUUGAGGACAGAAGUGGAGGUGGCGAGAUGCAAAGCCUACGUACGGACCGGCUUCCCCAGUAGGGCGGCGCCAAUGGGCGGCUCCCAAGCUGCUCCCGUCUCACCUCUGCUUCCGGGGUGCUGGGGGUUUGGGCCAGUGUUCCUUCUGCUUUUGUGAAGGGCCCUUACACUCGACUCGAAGUGCUCCUCCUAUUGGUUUUUAAUAAAUAUAUUUAUGGAAAGCUUUAUGAAUUUGCGAGUCAUCCUUGUGCAGGGGCCAUGCUAAUCUCUGUAUCGUUGCAAUUUUUGUAUACAUGCUGCUGAAGGGCGCACUCCUCUUAUUGUUGUAUAAGUUUUUAAGGUAAAUAUUCAACAUCAAUUCCCAUUUGUUGCAAUUAUUUCCCUUCUUUGAGGUUUUUAAUUUGCAGCAUUUUUACAUUUAUUUCCUUCUAUUUAUUUAUUUUUGAGAAACAAGGUCUUGCUCUGUCGCCGAGGCUGGAGUGCAGUGGUGUGAUCAUAGUUCAUUGCAGCCUCAAACUCCUGGGCUCAAGUAAUCCUCCUGCCUUGGCCUCCCAAGUAGCUGGGACUAUAACUGCACAUCACUGUGCCCAGCAGCAUUUCUAUAUUUUGGAGAAAUCAAAUCUAUGUACUUAUUUUCCUCUGUAGCUUGUCCUAUCACUUUUGAGUUUAGAAAGCCUUUGCCAUCCAGAAAUCAGACAGUUUUCCCACUGGUUUUAGAUUCUUUAAUCCAUUUAAUAUUAUUUUGCCCAGAGAAUGAAGCAGUGGCCACAUUAGUUGUGACACCCCCCAUGCCCCGCCCCCGCCGCUCCUUAAGUGCAUCUGAGAUACCCUCUCCAUUCUGCUCCCUCCCUGUGGGCCUUGCUAGGCUGCUGCCUGGCCCUCCGAGGGUCUGGGCCAUGCCAUUCAAUAGAGUGGCCCCUGCUGGGGCUCCACCUGUCAUCACUUAGCAGUUCUCACCCGUUUCUUCUUCCCAGGAGUGACGGGACAGUGAGGAGGCAUCAAACAGCACAGGUCUGCAGUUCUACAGAGCUGGCUUCCAGUCCCAGUGCUGUGUGACCUUGAGCAAGUUACCUAACCUCUCUGAGUCUCAAGGGGCUAAUGAGACUUCACCUUGCAGGGCUCUGGUGAGAAGCACAUUGGGCACAGUCAUGGGCAUUUGUGGGUACUAACAUUAUUCCUCCCUGCCUGCCCCAACAAAACAAUCCCAGUGGGGAUUUGAACUGAAAUCAAGCUACACCUAUAAAUUCCUUUGGAAAGAAUGAGGUCUUUCCAUAAUGUGUGUAGUCCUCCAUCCAGGAAUGUGGAACAUAUCUUCCUUUAUUAAAGUUUCCUUUUAUGCCUUCUGGAAAGCUUUGCCGCUCUUCACACGGCCUGAGGUUUCUUGCUGAGGUCAUUUCCUGGCACAUGGUGUGUCUGUCCUGCUGCUGUGCUGGGCGUCAUCUUUUGCGUGUGCUGGUUUCCAGCAGGGCACUUCUGCGAUAUGGUUUCGUUUGCUGGCUGAAGAUACAGAACCAGGGGCUCGAACCCCUCCAACGCCUGCUCACACACAGCUCCAUGAGGAGGCAGCCCUGGACCUCACCCCACAGUGUCCUCCUCAGAGGCUACCAUGGGGUGCAGCCAGCUCUGGAGUGGCCAUUCCCCCAUAACAGCCACUUGGGCAAACCAGUGUGUAUUUCAACACCAGCCAGGCCAAGACAGGUCUGCUGACGCACUCUCCCUGUGGUGGGGCUGGGCUGGCAGGUUCUCCCUUGCACUGCCCUCGUGAGUGUCAGCUGAGGGCACUUCUCACAGCUCAGGCACCACACUCGGCCAGGUUUGGAAAAAGUCUAGUUUAUUGCACUGACUCAAAGCACAACUAAAAAUUAAAACCAGAAAGAAAACUGUACAAAGCAUGAAGCUACAAGUUUAAAAGCAUCACCUAGACGCGGGUUUAAUUGCACUACAGUCCCAUGGGUGAGGAGAGCUUUGCCAUCCGUGAGGCGCCGGGCAAGGCACAACAGACACAGAGAGAUGCAGCCCGGCCUGGGGCUGCCUCUACUGCCACCAACUUUUACAAAAGGUUCUAGAAAAGGGAAGUGUGAAGUCAGAUCUGGGAUUUCGGCAUCUUGACCUCAUUUGGACAUGGAAAACCUCCACCUAUGUGGCUGGCUGGGUCCUGUCAGAGAACAUAUUUUAUCACCCUCCACCUGCGGCCUGGGGGCUCCCUGACACCAAGGCCUGGGCCUGGGCCAGAGGCAGGCUAAAAAAAGCAGCCAGCCUGGUGUCCUGUCCUGAAGCUGCCUCCGGGAGGGGGCGGGAUGUGUGGCAGGGCGGCCUAGCCCUCACACGCAGAUGCCAGUGGGCGGGGUGGGCACUGCCCAUUGUCUGAAGGGGCCACAGCGGCCGUCCAUAGAGGCACUGGUUUCAACCUGUCGAGUGUCAACCCAUACCCUGCAGAAGGCAUGGGCUGCCACUCAGAGCCAGCCCACAGGUCCCGUGACCGCCCUGCCAGUCAAGUCUGUGCGGGGAUGCCUGCCCCUCUGAGGCUGCAGGCGAGGACAGUGCAGGCUCAGGACAAACCCGGGAAGGAACAAAGGCCUUCCAUUGUUUUCGGAAAACACAUAUCUCUUCUAAAUUUGUAAGAUUUGAUUUGAAAUGAGGUAUUUUAUGCAGAUUUGUAAUACAACAAAAAAGGCAAUAAUUAGUAGACUCGUCCUCUGAGGAUGCAUCUGGUUUUAGGAUGUCCGCCAGCAGCAUUAGUUAAAUACCAUUCCAAAGACAUUUCUAAGGGAGCGACCCUUGCUCAGCUCCCCCACGCCCCAUGCACCCUCCUGUGCCGUCCCUACCUGGGACACACGUGCACACAUCCAGGUUCCAUUUGCACCCAUCAGGCUUUACUGUUUCAGCUGAAGUGUGCUCUCCAGGAGGCGGGCAGCCUGCGCCGUGUGUGGGCAGUGAGGUGUGGUGUGGUGUGGUGAGAUGUGGCGAGGUACGGUACGGUGCGGUGCGGUGCGGUGUGGUGUGGUGAGGUGUGCUGUGCUGUGGUGUGGUGAGGUGUGGGGUGUGUUGUGUGGUGAGGUGUGCUGUGGUGUGGUGAGGUGUGGUGAGGUAUGGUGCAGUGCGGUGUGCUGUGCUGUGGUGAGGUGUACUGUGGUGUGGUGAGGUGAGGUGUGUUGUGGUGUGCAUGUGCGUGGGUUCUCUCCUGGCAUGGCCAGUGCUCUCCUCUCAAGCCCGGCCUCGGCUUGCUGGCCAGAGCGUCUGGCGUGGAAUGUGCUCUGCAGCUUUGUCUCUGGGGGGACACCCCCCUAUGAUGGGACAAAGCCAUCACCGAGCACAUCCCGCGCUGCAGAGAGCUGACCUUUGGCUCCAUCUGGCCCUGGGGCUACUAAUGUGGAAGGAGGCCCUGGGCCAAACCAGCUGCCCGGCUACCCUUGGUUCUGGGAGGCCUCCGGAGACCACUCCCACCAACAAAAGCUGGAGCUAUCUGUGGAUGAGACCAGGACGGCAGCACGUGGGUAAUCGGAGUGCAUGCAGCCGGGCGGUCGCCACUGUCCUGAGCUAGGAGGCGCCACUGCUGCAGCAAUCACGCCAGCCACGGGUGGAGGCUGUGGGUUCUGGAACGAGACAGAAACCAACAUAGAUGAAAGUAAGUGUGCGGGUCCAACCUGGCCAGAGGUGUCUGGACACGUGUGGAGGCAGCACGUCCACCAGGGAGUGACUCCGAAGCCACUGUGCCCACCACAGACGCCGGGCCCCUCCGCGUGACUCUGCCAGGGCUCCUUCAGAUGACCUCCCACUCGUCCUCCAGGUCCUCAGGGUGGGGCAUGGCGGCCUGGCUGCUCUUCUGGGUGCCGUGCGAGUGGCUGAACGUCUUCGUCAGCCGUUGGAGGAGGUAGCCGGGCGG